UCAAUAAGCGGAGGAAAAGAAACUAACAAGGAUUCCCUUAGUAACUGCGAGUGAAGAGGGAAAAGCUCAAAUUUAAAAUCUGGCAGUGUUUCACUGUCCGAGUUGUAACCUAGAGAAGUGUAACCUGUGCUGGACCGUGUACAAGUCUCCUGGAAUGGAGCAUCACAGAGGGUGAGAAUCCCGUCUUUGACAUGGACUACCAGUGCAUUGCGGUUGCGCUCUCAACGAGUCGAGUUGUUUGGGAAUGCAGCUCUAAAUGGGUGGUAAAUUCCAUCUAAAGCUAAAUAUUGGCGAGAGACCGAUAGCGAACAAGUACCGUGAGGGAAAGAUGAAAAGAACUUUGGAAAGAGAGUUAAACAGUAUGUGAAAUUGUUGAAAGGGAAACGUUUGAAGUCAGUCGCGUUGGUUGGGGAUCAGCCUGACAUUGUUGGGUGUAUUUCCUGGUCGACGGGCCAACAUCAGUUUUGACUGCCAGAAAAAGGCCAAAGGAAUGUGGCACCUUUGGGUGUGUUAUAGCCCUUGGUCGUAUAUGGUGGUUGGGACUGAGGAAAGCAGCGUGCCGAAAGGCCGGGUUUCGACCACGUUCACGCUGAGGAUGUUGGCAUAAUGGCUUUAAGCGACCCGUCUUGAAACACG
This 636-nucleotide ribosomal RNA is filed under the name Amanita excelsa. Its description in RNAcentral is "LSU rRNA". It matches the Rfam family "Eukaryotic large subunit ribosomal RNA", at positions 43 to 663 of the family's 3401-position model. The record is from RNAcentral. Lineage: Eukaryota; Fungi; Basidiomycota; Agaricomycetes; Agaricales; Amanitaceae.